CUGUCGUCCCUAAAAAAUGAAUACAGCCGCCGCCUUCUCAUGGCCUACUCGAUCGCCCCGGACUUUCUGCAAUCUCCGCCGCCAUCCCUAAUGUCAUCGUCACGUGGCCGCCCAGUCUUCCCUUCCAGAUCAAAGAUCGAUCUGAACCCAACUGCCUCACACUGUACCUUGCUUCUUUCACUCUCGCUGCCCCAUGGGGAUUUCUCAAGAUCACAGGCCUCGCCUUCCCAGUCAGCCUGGUGGAACAAGGAUGUCUGAAGGUGUGAAAAUCUUCAAAGAAUUUUAUUCUGUAUAAAGAGAUGCACACUCUAAGAAAGUGCAAUACGGGUAUCAUCUAUAGUUAUUUACAAGCAGCCUUUUAUUUUUCUUAUGUAUUUCAGUUUCUCUUUGUCUAUUACGUCCAUUGCCACAGGUGCCUCUCAAACAAUUUCAUCUACAGUAUUUCUUUAUAUACACACCACGCCUCUUUUUUCCCACAGGAGUCAUGGCUAUGAAAAGUUCUCAAAGAAAUCAGAGCAGGUUUGUGAACUUCUUAUAUUUUGGUUAAGGCAUCUUCAGUUGUUGAGCAAAUUAUUUUCUAGAGCAAAUUCCAUAUGUCAGGCAACAAAAUGUGAAGGUUAUAAAGGCUUAACUUUAUUUGUUAUCAUGCUCCGGUUAUGAGGUUAUCAUGUAGAUUCUGUAUGAACUGCUUGACAGAAAGUAAUAUAUAUGUUUGUAAAAAGUAUAUUAUUAUUCUAGCUGCUCUUGCAUUAAUGAUUAGUUUUUCUCUUGCCUGUUUUGCAGAACAGGUCCUUAUCUUAAUAAAAGUUUGGAUCUAUGUAAAGCCCAGCAUAUGUUUGUAGUAGAAAUCUAUCGAUUAUGUAGUAUGUAGUUUCUUUUAUAUACAGGAGCUUCUCGGUACUGCACGAGGAAACAUCUACAAUCGGAACCCAUCUUCUACAGCGAAGAAAGGUCAACAUGAUUGAGGCCUCGAGGGAGAGGCCAGAAAAGAUCUAUGGAAGUUACCUUAAAUCUGAAAGUGCAAAGAUUUGGUUCUUUCAGUAGUUGCUACAACAUGUAAGGAUAUGAUGAUUGGGGAACGAUCUGACGGAUUUCUGGCCAAUAUAAGCAAUGCCUUCAUGUUCCAUGACAAGCUGCAGAUGCAUGAUUUAUUAAUUCUAUUGGAACCCAACUUCUACAAUGAAGAAAGUGGCAACAAGGUUGAGGGAGGCGCCAGUAAAGAUCCGAUGAAAGUUACCUUAAAUCUGAAAGUACGAAGAUUUGGUUCUUUCAGUAAUUACUACCACAUGUACGGUUAUAAUAGUUGGGGAACAAGCUGAGGGAUUUCUAGCAAAUAGUAGCAUCGCCUUCAUGCUCCAAGACAAGCUCCAGGUUUGUCCACCAAACAAGAACCCAUUAAUCAACUACAGUGGUUGUUCAAAUAGUUAACUAAUUGCAGACUACGAUUUGUUGUACAUAAGACGUGCUCAAUUUCUUCUUGUUCUCGCAUUAGGUGGCACCAAGAUUGGAUGUAGAAAACUGAUUUGUUUUUCGCUUAAACAUGCUUUGUUUGGUGAUUUUUUAUUCAAUGGCAAUGCUUGGUAGUCGCAAUUUACUAAUUGCAGGUGCAUGAUUCAUCGUAGAAAAGCAAAUUAAUUUCCACGUACACAAGCCCAGUUACUUGGUGUAUGAGUAGCUGAUAAAAUAGUGCCCAAACUUAGAAUCUUAGUCCCAUAGUAUAUAUGCACGUCAUGUCUAGGUAUUGGAAAUGUUUUAGAUGUUUAGUGGAGCUUCAUACAAUGAGUUGUUGCAGUUUCGGUUUCAACAAGAUAUUUUUCUUCUAUAGAUGCCGUACAUUAGUACUUGAAAUUUGUUAAUUGCAUACGCAUGAUUCAAUGUAGAAAAGCAAACUGAUUUCCACAUACACAUGCCCAGUUACUUGGUGUGUAUAGUUGAUCAAACAUAGUGAUAAAUCAUGCGGUGUCCUAGCUUAGAAUCUUACUCCCAUAGUAUAUAUGUAUGUUCUGUCCAGGUAUUCAAAAUAUUUGAAAUGUUUAAGGGAUCUUGAUAGAAUGAGUUGGUGCAGUUUCAGUUUCAAGCAGAGAACAAAUUAAAGAACAGGGUAAUCAGUUUGGAUUUAGGUAAGCGGACAGUGUAAGCAUUAUUUUCAUCUACAUAUAUGCUUGUGGACUAACUCACUUCUGUUAAGUUACGGUGAACUUACCUUAAUUCUGUCGCCUAGCAUGAUCUGAGUAGUGCAGCUCUUUAUCUUUAGAUGAUUCUAUUUCAGAUCAAAAUUUGCUCCGCUUUAUUGCUACAAAUAGUACUUUGAAACAAUGUAUAGUUUUUCAGUACUGCCACAGAAUGAGAAACAACUCAAAUGCAUAGACUGACCAAAAUCUCUUAUUUAUUGGCAAUAUCAAGGAUUUAGACGAUGGAUUUGUGCCAGUGUUGCCAGUAUAGUACACCCCAAUUUUCUAUUGCCUUUAAUGCAGCUGCUAGCUAAUUUCUAGACAAUGUUGAAAACUUUAUAUUUGUACAGACAAUUUUUUAAGGAGCGCAUUGGAUAUGGGUUCUUCCAUGUCUUUAGAACCAUAUAUAUACCUCACCUCUCAAAGAAACAUCAAAAAACCUAGACGUCCAUAACUCUGAGAGUACAAGAUGCUUUUUGGGCGGAAUAAUAGUACAUGAUACUGUACUAAUUGUGGUCUUUUAACCCAGUUUUUUUUCUUACACCCAAACAAGUGUUGGGUCUGUCUAUGAAUCACAUGAGUGAAAUUAGAUUCUACGUCAUGUAUGACACUUGUGAUAAGCCUGACAUAUUAGUUUGUCCAAAUUUACAGAUCAUUAGCACUGUGUGAUGAUUAAAAAUUUCUGAAGCUAUGCUUCAAAUAGAAUUUGUCAACAUUAUGGGCCUAUGAUUUUACUAUGUAGUACACCUGAUAGUGCUGACAAACGCUCACAUUUAUAUCCUGGUGAGGUGACAAAACUUCUACAGGAGAUUGAUUACCGUGUAGAGAAUUCACUUGACUGAUAUUGGUGAGGUGACUUAAUUAUUUGUAUGUGCAUAUGACAGCCACAACUUAACUAAAAUUGAUGAUUUGUUAUCACAUUUAAUUCUAAGCACGUUGAUGCUAAACUGAGUGUCCCAUUCUUCUUAUAUAUUUUAGCAAUCUAUACAUGCCAAAUGUAAAAAUUCAUUCUACUGCAUAUUGUAAAACUCACUUCUUUAAGGUACACCCCUCAAAUAUUCCAAGUCCGGCGAUGGCCGUUUUUCUGAAAUAGUUUGUUUACCCAUGUUAUGCCAACAACGAUGUAGUUUGAGUAUUGCUAGCUUAUUCGAUUAUUCCAAGAAUAUCCUUUGCACUCCCUCUUACGAGUCUACUCAUUCAUAUAGAAUGGUUUCCACUAAGAUAUGUUACUGUAAACUUAUUCCUAUGUAUUAUAUGUAGAUCCAAUGGUAAAGAGGAAACACUACCUAUUGACCCAUCUUGAACUAUUGGAUUAAAAUAUGCCAUUCCAAAUUAUGCAUAUACCGACAUAAUGGUAUUUCAAUAGCUUGGGUAAGAUUUUUAGCAUUCUCAUUUUAUAAACUGUGGUUAGGUGUCCUCAAGAGAAAUUUGAGUAUCCUAUGCAUGCAGUAAUCUUUUGCUCUUUAUCCGUAAUCCUAUCUACAGUUAAAGCAUUAGUAGUAUUCACUUGCAAAAAAAUUAGUAUUAAAUGAAAGUCAAAGUGCUUUAUAUGUCAAGUAAUACUUAAGAAAAUCUCAAAUCAUUUUUUACGGGAUAAUCUCAAAUCAUUCUUGUAUAUGCAAAAAUCAUUUUUAUAGUUAUUCAUCAAAUAUAUAUAAUAUGAUUAAAAUAAUAUAAUAUUAACACUUUUCUAAUAUCAUGUUCCAUCAGUGUACCAGUUUGACACAUAUUUGUACUUUAUAAAAAUGCACGAUUUAUAUCGUUAAUCAUCCUUUAAAUGAGGAGAUGGGAGCUCGGAAGUUCCCUAGGAAAAAUAAAGGUAUAGGGUUAAAGGACACUUUAAUUAAAUUUGAAUUAUUAGAUUUGUGUAACAAAUGCUAAAUUUUCAUUAAUGUUCAUUAUCUAGGAUCCGUCAAAUUUUAAAGAAUAUUUUAAUGAAGAGGAACAUUAUACUGGAUUGUAAAAAUCAAGAACACCAACAUCAUCUAAGUAGUUGCUUUAAAAAAAAUGCUCGACAAAUAAAAGAGGUUGCCCGCAUUAUAUUGAUAAAAAUCUAAAAAGUCUAGCCCGCACAUCGGGCGGGCCACUCUGCUAGUUAUUAUAACAGCAACAACCUUAAACAUAAAACUUUUAUC
Long non-coding RNA from Triticum aestivum (bread wheat), 4306 nucleotides. RefSeq lists it as uncharacterized. The transcript is spliced from 4 exons. The record is from RefSeq and is a predicted model, not a curated record. NCBI's taxonomy places the organism in Eukaryota, Viridiplantae, Streptophyta, Magnoliopsida, Poales, Poaceae.